GUUUUAAUAGCUUAAAUAGUAAAAGUAUAAUACUGAAGAUAUUAAGAUAAUUUAAUUGUAAAUUUUAAAACA
This 72-nucleotide transfer RNA is filed under the name Bemisia tabaci. RNAcentral describes it as "tRNA-Phe". Lineage: Eukaryota; Metazoa; Arthropoda; Insecta; Hemiptera; Aleyrodidae. The record is from RNAcentral.